This 450-nucleotide ribosomal RNA is filed under the name uncultured bacterium. RNAcentral describes it as "partial 16S ribosomal RNA". It matches the Rfam family "Bacterial small subunit ribosomal RNA", at positions 354 to 796 of the family's 1533-position model. The record is from RNAcentral.
GUGGGGAAUUUUGGACAAUGGGCGCAAGCCUGAUCCAGCAAUGCCGCGUGCAGGAAGAAGGCCUUCGGGUUGUAAACUGCUUUUGUACGGAACGAAAAGGCUCUGGUUAAUACCUGGGGCUCAUGACGGUACCGUAAGAAUAAGCACCGGCUAACUACGUGCCAGCAGCCGCGGUAAUACGUAGGGUGCGAGCGUUAAUCGGAAUUACUGGGCGUAAAGCGUGCGCAGGCGGUGCUGUAAGACAGGCGUGAAAUCCCCGGGCUCAACCUGGGAAUUGCGCUUGUGACUGCAGUGCUGGAGUACGGCAGAGGGGGAUGGAAUUCCGCGUGUAGCAGUGAAAUGCGUAGAUAUGCGGAGGAACACCGAUGGCGAAGGCAGUCCCCUGGGCCUGUACUGACGCUCAUGCACGAAAGCGUGGGGAGCAAACAGGAUUAGAUACCCGUGUAGUCC